Long non-coding RNA from Mercurialis annua (annual mercury), 593 nucleotides. RefSeq lists it as uncharacterized. Lineage: Eukaryota; Viridiplantae; Streptophyta; Magnoliopsida; Malpighiales; Euphorbiaceae. The record is from RefSeq and is a predicted model, not a curated record. The transcript is spliced from 3 exons.
UUUCCAGCAAAGGUGAAGAGAGGAAGAACUUCAUCUUCUCAAAAGUUCCAUAAUCUUUCAAGUGCCAUAACUUGUUCGUUUUUACUCCGAUUCGAGUGAUUUUUACGGCCACGGAAAGAGGAGGACGAUAGCUACGGAUUGACCUAAAAAAAUCAAAACUUGACGAGGCGACUACCAAUGGAACCCGGAACUUACAAAACGCGAUAUUGCUUAGCUGUUAUCGAAGGAUAUGGAUAGCCAGCGUGUGUUUUUCAGGUACCUAGAUUCUAGACGUGGCUAGAAGUCCGUCUCUGACCAGAAGUCAAUGUUCCAAUAAACAGUUCCGACUUCCAUGUCUGCUGCAGUAGUAUAAUGUCUGACUAGUGUCAUGGCCUAGUAGAACAGUAAAAAUUGUAUGUUGUUUAUAGUUGCUGUCUGUUGUGCAUAUUUUGGUUUGGCUACAAUAGUUAUGUUUUGUACCACGGAGGUAGAUUCUCGUGAUGUAACUUUGACACUAGUAGUUUAUGCCGGGCUAGUACGUAUAUGAUACGGAAAUGAUAAGUCCGAGCAAGUUGUAUGAUUUUUACCAGUGUAUAAAUGUGUUUUUGUUUAAA